UGGGGAAUUUUGGACAAUGGGGGAAACCCUGAUCCAGCCAUCCCGCGUGUGCGAUGAAGGCCUUCGGGUUGUAAAGCACUUUUGGCAGGAAAGAAACGUCAUGGGUUAAUACCCCGUGAAACUGACGGUACCUGCAGAAUAAGCACCGGCUAACUACGUGCCAGCAGCCGCGGUAAUACGUAGGGUGCAAGCGUUAAUCGGAAUUACUGGGCGUAAAGCGUGCGCAGGCGGUUCGGAAAGAAAGAUGUGAAAUCCCAGAGCUCAACUUUGGAACUGCAUUAUUAACUACCGGGCUAGAGUGUGUCAGAGGGAGGUGGAAUUCAGCGUGUAGCAGUGAAAUGCGUAGAUAUGCGGAGGAACACCGAUGGCGAAGGCAGCCUCCUGGGAUAACACUGACGCUCAUGCACGAAAGCGUGGGGAGCAAACAGG
This 429-nucleotide ribosomal RNA is filed under the name Acidobacteriota bacterium. RNAcentral describes it as "Acidobacteria bacterium partial 16S ribosomal RNA". It matches the Rfam family "Bacterial small subunit ribosomal RNA", at positions 355 to 776 of the family's 1533-position model. Lineage: Bacteria; Pseudomonadati; Acidobacteriota. The record is from RNAcentral.